CAAAAGACCCUGGUCUAAGAAGAAGCUGUGCUUGCCUAUCAUGGCUUGGACUCCUCUUGUGUUUAUUCUUCUAUCUUACUGUACAGGUUCUUUUUCUGAAUCUGUUAUGACACAGCCACCCUCCAUCUCUGCAACUCUUGGAUCAACAGUCAGACUUACUUGCUCCCUGAAGAGUGGCAUCAGCGUUGGCAGUAAAGAUAUUUACUGGUACCAGCAGAUGCAGGGGAGCCCUCCUCGGUUUUUACUGUACUACUACUCAGACUCAAGCAAGAACCUCGGGCCUGGAGUCACCAACAGAGUCUCUGGAUCCAAAGAUACCUCCAAAAAUGCUGCAGAGUUGCACAUCUCUCAGCUAAAAGCAGAGGAUGAGGCUGACUAUUACUGUGCCAUCUGGGAAAGUAAUGAAUCUCACAGUGAUACAGGCAGAUGGGGAAUAAUGCGGCACCUGGGAUUAGACAGAGAAACUACAUUGUUUUACUCCCUGCUGUUACUGUCCAACCUUGGCAGCGACGUCACUGCCAAGAUUUCUGUGAAAUGA
Non-coding RNA from Microtus oregoni (creeping vole), 538 nucleotides. Lineage: Eukaryota; Metazoa; Chordata; Mammalia; Rodentia; Cricetidae. The record is from the annotation of a RefSeq genome assembly.